Molecule: ribosomal RNA, 499 nt
Filed under: uncultured bacterium
Lineage: Bacteria
Description: bacterial SSU rRNA
Rfam family: Bacterial small subunit ribosomal RNA
Source: RNAcentral
GAUGAACGCUGGCGGCGUGCCUAAUACAUGCAAGUCGAACGCAUUGUGGUUGAAAUGAUAUGAAGAACUUGUUCAGAUUUGAUUUUCAACAUUGCAAUGAGUGGCGAACGGGUGAGUAACACGUGGGAAACCUACCUCUUAGCAGGGGAUAACAUUUGGAAACAAAUGCUAAUACCGUAUAAUAAUUAAAACCGCAUGGUUUUAGUUUAAAAGAUGGUCUUGCUAUCACUAAGAGAUGGUCCCGCGGUGUAUUAGUUAGUUGGUGAGGUAAUGGCUCACCAAGACAAUGAUACAUAGCCGAGUUGAGAGACUGACCGGCCACAAUGGGAGUGAGACACGGCCCAUACUCCUACGGGAGGCAGCAGUAGGGAAUCUUCCACAAUGGACGAAAGUCUGAUGGAGCAACGCCGCGUGUGUGAUGAAGGGUUUCGGCUCGUAAAACACUGUUGUAAGAGAAGAAUGACAUUGAGAGUAACUGUUCAAUGUGUGACGGUAUCUU